Molecule: ribosomal RNA, 497 nt
Filed under: uncultured bacterium
Lineage: Bacteria
Description: partial 16S ribosomal RNA
Rfam family: Bacterial small subunit ribosomal RNA
Source: RNAcentral
GAUGAACGCUGGCGGCGUGCCUAAUACAUGCAAGUCGAGCGAACAGACGAGGAGCUUGCUCCUCUGACGUUAGCGGCGGACGGGUGAGUAACACGUGGAUAACCUACCUAUAAGACUGGGAUAACUUCGGGAAACCGGAGCUAAUACCGGAUAAUAUAUUGAACCGCAUGGUUCAAUAGUGAAAGACGGCUUUGCUGUCACUUAUAGAUGGAUCCGCGCCGCAUUAGCUAGUUGGUAAGGUAACGGCUUACCAAGGCAACGAUGCGUAGCCGACCUGAGAGGGUGAUCGGCCACACUGGAACUGAGACACGGUCCAGACUCCUGCGGGAGGCAGCAGUAGGGAAUCUUCCGCAAUGGGCGAAAGCCUGACGGAGCAACGCCGCGUGAGUGAUGAAGGUCUUCGGAUCGUAAAACUCUGUUAUUAGGGAAGAACAAAUGUGUAAGUAACUAUGCACGUCUUGACGGUACCUAAUCAGAAAGCCACGGCUAACUACGUG